This 253-nucleotide ribosomal RNA is filed under the name uncultured bacterium. RNAcentral describes it as "partial 16S ribosomal RNA". It matches the Rfam family "Bacterial small subunit ribosomal RNA", at positions 524 to 776 of the family's 1533-position model. The record is from RNAcentral.
UACGUAGGGGGCUAGCGUUGUCCGGAAUCAUUGGGCGUAAAGCGCGCGUAGGCGGCCCGGUAAGUCCGCUGUAAAAGUCCAGGGCUCAACCCUGGAAAGCCGGUGGAUACUGUCGGGCUCGAGUCCGGAAGAGGCGAGUGGAAUUCCUGGUGUAGCGGUGGAAUGCGCAGAUAUCAGGAGAAACACCGAUGGCGAAGGCAGCUCGCUGGGACGGUACUGACGCUGAGACGCGAAAGCGUGGGGAGCGAACAGG